This 188-nucleotide microRNA precursor is filed under the name Oryza punctata. RNAcentral's name for it is "MIR812 microRNA precursor family". It matches the Rfam family "MIR812 microRNA precursor family". Lineage: Eukaryota; Viridiplantae; Streptophyta; Magnoliopsida; Poales; Poaceae. The record is from Rfam by way of RNAcentral.
UUUAAACGUAACAAUAAGUUUUCGUGAUCGUUCGUCUUAUUUAAAAUUUUUUUAUGAUUAAUAUUUUUAUUGUUAUUAGAUGAUAAAACAUGAAUAGUACUUUUAUGUAUGACUUAUGUUUUUCUAUUAUUUUUUUAAAUAAGAUAGACAAUUAAAGUUGAAUAUGAAAACUCAUGACUACGCUUGAA